Molecule: unclassified non-coding RNA, 363 nt
Filed under: Zea mays
Lineage: Eukaryota; Viridiplantae; Streptophyta; Magnoliopsida; Poales; Poaceae
Description: misc RNA Zm00001eb126910
Source: RNAcentral
UCAUGUCCUUGAUCCAGUGCUGCAUCAUAAGCAAAGUUGUAUGAAGUCACCACAAGGCAAGGAGACAAAUGUCGAACCGAUGAAUUCCUUGGCCAAUCCCGACAAAGAAAAAAGACAAAACGAGAUCGCAUCAACGAAGCCGCCAAAUUUCCAAAGCAAGACCGGACGGGAGUCUUCGUCCAGACCCCGCGAUCAGAACUCGGAUUUGGGGCAGUUCAAGUUCAAACUCAACAUGAUCAGGAUCAGGCCACGUCUACAUCAACGCCCAACAGCAAGAGCAGGGUACAGUAAAAUGGAACAAAUAUCUUUGGCUAGGCAGGGCGCCACCGCAAUCGUUACCUGCGCGUCGUCAUCACGGUCCGU